Molecule: ribosomal RNA, 466 nt
Filed under: uncultured bacterium
Lineage: Bacteria
Description: partial 16S ribosomal RNA
Rfam family: Bacterial small subunit ribosomal RNA
Source: RNAcentral
GAUGAACGCUGGCGGCGUGCUUAACACAUGCAAGUCGAACGAUGAAGCCCAGCUUGCUGGGUGGAUUAGUGGCGAACGGGUGAGUAACACGUGAGUAACCUGCCCUUGACUCUGGGAUAAGCGCUGGAAACGGCGUCUAAUACCGGAUACGAGCUUCCACCGCAUGGUGAGUUGCUGGAAAGAAUUUCGGUCAAGGAUGGACUCGCGGCCUAUCAGGUAGUUGGUGAGGUAACGGCUCACCAAGCCGACGACGGGUAGCCGGCCUGAGAGGGUGACCGGCCACACUGGGACUGAGACACGGCCCAGAAUCCUACGGGAGGCAGCAGUGGGGAAUAUUGCACAAUGGGCGCAAGCCUGAUGCAGCAACGCCGCGUGAGGGACGAAGGCCUUCGGGUCGUAAACCUCUUUUAGCAGGGAAGAAGCGAAAGUGACGGUACCUGCAGAAAAAGCACCGGCUAACUACGUG